Molecule: long non-coding RNA, 1253 nt
Organism: Papaver somniferum (opium poppy)
Lineage: Eukaryota; Viridiplantae; Streptophyta; Magnoliopsida; Ranunculales; Papaveraceae
Exons: 2
Source: RefSeq, a predicted model, not a curated record
UCCUUAUAGCGACACUAUUAAAUCCUUAUGUCACUUUGUUUGUUGUCAGACUACAGUGGUAGAAAGCCUACUUGUAUAUAUUGUGGUUGUGGUAGGUUGUGCACAUCUUUUUUAACUGCAUAUGUUGUUGCAACAUGAUAUAUCAAGCAGGGCAGCAGCAUACCCACUACUUGCAUUCUUGUGAACGACUUCUUUUAUGGCAUGUUUGAUAGGGUGAGGUUUGGGGUGUGGGUUUAAAAUUAUAAAGAAGUAAUGGUGUCGGUAUUUUAAAGGAGAGCUGUGUCUGUUAGAUUUCGACCUUGAUUUAUUGGAAAUGUAAGAACUUGGAGGAAGUUUUGUUGCUGUUGUUGCUUGAAUUUGUACUGAAGUUCAUGAGGUGUUGCUGAAGAAUAACCAAGGAUUUAGAGGCCUGUUACACCAGCCAUGAUGUUUCACUGUCCGGGAUUUCACUAUGACUUGGAUAUUUACACCAAAGUCAUCACAUACUUGGGCUUUUCUAUUCUUUUCCCAGACAGCAUUUAAAGAUUCUAGUUUCCUAGAUGGUACCCAACUUUCUUAUCACUUUAUUUUGAGUGGCAAUAUAAUAAGAAGAACAUUUCAACUUUUACUAUUAAUCUUCAUUAUAUCUUCAGUGAUCUUCUUCAUCCUCCCAAUCCACCCCUUUUAGUUAUGGCAGACAACAGUUCUGUCCCAGAGGUAGGAGAAGGACCUGCUCUUCCUCCAUGUCUUAUGAAGGCCGAGGUCUCAUGGAUGUCCACCGUGAGGGGUAAUCUGUCAUAGGAAGAACGUAUAUUGAGAAGAGUUAGAGGUAUAGUAAACAAACUGACAGUGGAGAAAUACACACGGCUGAAGUUCAUGAUCUGCGAUCUUCUGGAUCUUCGGGAAAACAAAUGGGUCGGUCCUCAGAGCCAUAAGGUCAAAGAUAAGACGAUUGCUGAAUUAAUCAUUGCUUCACAGGCAGAGCUUCUUUCCAGCCUGCAUCUAAGUGCAAGUAUUACCACGAGUACGAGGAAUCGUCGGGCAGUACAACUCCGUCACAUGAAUCGACAUCACCCCGACUGCUGGUAAAGCAAUGUUGAUUCGGAAUGAAAACUUGCAGUUGGCGAUUAAUCAACCUUGUACAGCUAUCUAUGUGUUUGUGUUUGUUUGGGACCUUUACGAUGAACAAUUUUUGCAUUGUGAUGAUCUGGUAGAAUGCCCACUUGUAUAUAUUACUGGUUGUGAAGAUGCAAUAUCCGAAGUUAUUAUCAUUA